CACGUAGUUAGCCGGUGCUUCUUCUACACCUACCGUCACCACCCGAAGAUGGCUUCGUCGGUGUCGAAAGAGGUUUACAACCCGAAGGCCGUCAUCCCCCACGCGGCGUUGCUGCGUCAGGCUUUCGCCCAUUGCGCAAGAUUCCCCACUGCUGCCUCUCGUAGGAGUCUGGGCCGUGUCUCAGUCCCAGUGUGGCCGGUCACCCUCUCAGGCCGGCUACCCGUCGUCGCCUUGGUAGGCCAUCACCCCACCAACAAGCUGAUAGGCCGCGGGCUCAUCCUGCACCGCCGGAGCUUUCCACACCACACCAUGCGGCACGAUGUCAUAUCCGGUAUUACGACCCCGUUUCCAGGGCUUAUCCCAGAGUGCAGGGCAGAUUACCCACGUGUUACUCACCCGUUCGCCACUCAUCCACGGUGCAAGCACCGCUUCAGCGUUCGACUUGCAUGUGUUAAGCACGCCGCCAGCGUGUCCUCGUGCACGGAGUCAACGUACUCUAC
RNAcentral lists this ribosomal RNA (500 nucleotides) under uncultured Saccharopolyspora sp. Its description in RNAcentral is "partial 16S ribosomal RNA". The record is from RNAcentral. Lineage: Bacteria; Bacillati; Actinomycetota; Actinomycetes; Pseudonocardiales; Pseudonocardiaceae.